CUGGCCCUGAAUCAAGGCUGACAGCUUCCUGACGCUGGUGGUUUCAAGCAGGAGCCUAAAGAGAUGUCUUUCUAUGGUCUGCUGGCCGUUUCAGAACCUGGUCAGUGAAAUGGUCAAUUCAUUAGAAAGAAACAGCU
Cavia aperea (Brazilian guinea pig) is the source of this 137-nucleotide small nucleolar RNA. NCBI's taxonomy places the organism in Eukaryota, Metazoa, Chordata, Mammalia, Rodentia, Caviidae. The record is from Ensembl.